GAAACCGUGUACGUACAAGCAGUGGGAGCACGCUUCGGCGUGUGACUGCGUACCUUUUGUAUAAUGGGUCAGCGACUUAUAUUCUGUAGCAAGGUUAACCGAAUAGGGGAGCCGAAGGGAAACCGAGUCUUAACUGGGCGUUAAGUUGCAGGGUAUAGACCCGAAACCCGGUGAUCUAGCCAUGGGCAGGUUGAAGGUUGGGUAACACUAACUGGAGGACCGAACCGACUAAUGUUGAAAAAUUAGCGGAUGACUUGUGGCUGGGGGUGAAAGGCCAAUCAAACCGGGAGAUAGCUGGUUCUCCCCGAAAGCUAUUUAGGUAGCGCCUCGUGAAUUCAUCUCCGGGGGUAGAGCACUGUUUCGGCAAGGGGGUCAUCCCGACUUACCAACCCGAUGCAAACUGCGAAUACCGGAGAAUGUUAUCACGGGAGACACACGGCGGGUGCUAACGUCCGUCGUGAAGAGGGAAACAACCCAGACCGCCAGCUAAGGUCCCAAAGUCAUGGUUAAGUGGGAAACGAUGUGGGAAGGCCCAGACAGCCAGGAUGUUGGCUUAGAAGCAGCCAUCAUUUAAAGAAAGCGUAAUAGCUCACUGGUCGAGUCGGCCUGCGCGGAAGAUGUAACGGGGCUAAACCAUGCACCGAAGCUGCGGCAGCGACACUAUGUGUUGUUGGGUAGGGGAGCGUUCUGUAAGCCUGUGAAGGUGUACUGUGAGGUAUGCUGGAGGUAUCAGAAGUGCGAAUGCUGACAUAAGUAACGAUAAAGCGGGUGAAAAGCCCGCUCGCCGGAAGACCAAGGGUUCCUGUCCAACGUUAAUCGGGGCAGGGUGAGUCGACCCCUAAGGCGAGGCCGAAAGGCGUAGUCGAUGGGAAACAGGUUAAUAUUCCUGUACUUGGUGUUACUGCGAAGGGGGGACGGAGAAGGCUAUGUUGGCCGGGCGACGGUUGUCCCGGUUUAAGCGUGUAGGCUGGUUUUCCAGGCAAAUCCGGAAAAUCAAGGCUGAGGCGUGAUGACGAGGCACUACGGUGCUGAAGCAACAAAUGCCCUGCUUCCAGGAAAAGCCUCUAAGCAUCAGGUAACAUCAAAUCGUACCCCAAACCGACACAGGUGGUCAGGUAGAGAAUACCAAGGCGCUUGAGAGAACUCGGGUGAAGGAACUAGGCAAAAUGGUGCCGUAACUUCGGGAGAAGGCACGCUGAUAUGUAGGUGAAGUCCCUCGCGGAUGGAGUUGAAAUCAGUCGAAGAUACCAGCUGGCUGCAACUGUUUAUUAAAAACACAGCACUGUGCAAACACGAAAGUGGACGUAUACGGUGUGACGCCUGCCCGGUGCCGGAAGGUUAAUUGAUGGGGUCAGCGCAAGCGAAGCUCUUGAUCGAAGCCCCGGUAAACGGCGGCCGUAACUAUAACGGUCCUAAGGUAGCGAAAUUCCUUGUCGGGUAAGUUCCGACCUGCACGAAUGGCGUAAUGAUGGCCAGGCUGUCUCCACCCGAGACUCAGUGAAAUUGAACUCGCUGUGAAGAUGCAGUGUACCCGCGGCAAGACGGAAAGACCCCGUGAACCUUUACUAUAGCUUGACACUGAACAUUGAGCCUUGAUGUGUAGGAUAGGUGGGAGGCUUUGAAGUGUGGACGCCAGUCUGCAUGGAGCCGACCUUGAAAUACCACCCUUUAAUGUUUGAUGUUCUAACGUUGGCCCCUGAUCGGGGUUGCGGACAGUGUCUGGUGGGUAGUUUGACUGGGGCGGUCUCCUCCUAAAGAGUAACGGAGGAGCACGAAGGUUGGCUAAUCCUGGUCGGACAUCAGGAGGUUAGUGCAAUGGCAUAAGCCAGCUUGACUGCGAGCGUGACGGCGCGAGCAGGUGCGAAAGCAGGUCAUAGUGAUCCGGUGGUUCUGAAUGGAAGGGCCAUCGCUCAACGGAUAAAAGGUACUCCGGGGAUAACAGGCUGAUACCGCCCAAGAGUUCAUAUCGACGGCGGUGUUUGGCACCUCGAUGUCGGCUCAUCACAUCCUGGGGCUGAAGUAGGUCCCAAGGGUAUGGCUGUUCGCCAUUUAAAGUGGUACGCGAGCUGGGUUUAGAACGUCGUGAGACAGUUCGGUCCCUAUCUGCCGUGGGCGCUGGAGAACUGAGGGGGGCUGCUCCUAGUACGAGAGGACCGGAGUGGACGCAUCACUGGUGUUCGGGUUGUCAUGCCAAUGGCACUGCCCGGUAGCUAAAUGCGGAAGAGAUAAGUGCUGAAAGCAUCUAAGCACGAAACUUGCCCCG
This 2263-nucleotide ribosomal RNA is filed under the name Escherichia coli. Its description in RNAcentral is "partial 23S ribosomal RNA". It matches the Rfam family "Bacterial large subunit ribosomal RNA", at positions 552 to 2801 of the family's 2925-position model. The record is from RNAcentral. Lineage: Bacteria; Pseudomonadati; Pseudomonadota; Gammaproteobacteria; Enterobacterales; Enterobacteriaceae.